This 382-nucleotide ribosomal RNA is filed under the name uncultured eukaryote. RNAcentral describes it as "partial 18S ribosomal RNA". It matches the Rfam family "Eukaryotic small subunit ribosomal RNA", at positions 592 to 976 of the family's 1831-position model. The record is from RNAcentral.
CAAUAGCGUAUAUUAAAGUUGUUGCAGUUAAAAAGCUCGUAGUUGGACUUCUGCGGGUGGCGGCCGGUCGUGCUCGAAACGGGCGUGAACUUGGCGUGCUGCCCGCAUCUUUGGGGAGAUUGUGCGUGGCAUUAAGUUGUCGUGCAUGGGAUUCUCAUCAUUUACUGUGAAAAAAUUAGAGUGUUUAAAGCAGGCCUUUGCCUUGAAUACAUUAGCAUGGAAUAAUAAGAUAGGACCGUUGUCUAUUUUGUUGGUUUACAGAUGUCGGUAAUGAUUAAUAGGGAUAGUUGGGGGUAUUCGUAUUCAGUUGUCAGAGGUGAAAUUCUUGGAUUUUCGGAAGACGCACGACUGCGAAAGUAUUUACCAAGGAUGUUUUCAUUAA